AUUGAACGCUGGCGGCAUGCCUUACACAUGCAAGUCGAACGGCAGCAUGGAGAGCUUGCUCUCUGAUGGCGAGUGGCGAACGGGUGAGUAAUGCAUCGGAACGUACCGUGUAAUGGGGGAUAACGUAGCGAAAGUUACGCUAAUACCGCAUACGACCUGAGGGUGAAAGCAGGGGAUCGCAAGACCUUGCGUUAUACGAGCGGCCGAUGUCAGAUUAGCUAGUUGGUGAGGUAAAGGCUCACCAAGGCGACGAUCUGUAGCGGGUCUGAGAGGAUGAUCCGGCACACUGGGACUGAGACACGGCCCAGACUCCUACGGGAGGCAGCAGUGGGGAAUUUUGGACAAUGGGGGCAACCCUGAUCCAGCCAUGCCGCGUGAGUGAAGAAGGCCUUCGGGUUGUAAAGCUCUUUCGGCCGGGAAGAAAUCGCACAGGCUAAUACUCUGUGUGGAUGACGGUACCGGCAUAGGAAGCACCGGCUAACUACGUGCCAGCAGCCGCCGUAA
This 504-nucleotide ribosomal RNA is filed under the name uncultured bacterium. RNAcentral describes it as "partial 16S ribosomal RNA". It matches the Rfam family "Bacterial small subunit ribosomal RNA", at positions 30 to 523 of the family's 1533-position model. The record is from RNAcentral.